This 862-nucleotide long non-coding RNA is filed under the name Populus trichocarpa (black cottonwood). Its description in RNAcentral is "long non-coding RNA (PTRI_LNC004119)". Lineage: Eukaryota; Viridiplantae; Streptophyta; Magnoliopsida; Malpighiales; Salicaceae. The record is from RNAcentral.
AUUGAUGCCCCAGUUCUUCCCGGGAAUGGUGAGUUCUUGAUGAAGCUAGCUAUUGGCACGCCACCGGAGACUUAUUCUGCAAUAAUGGACACAGGUAGCGAUUUGAUAUGGACUCAGUGCAAGCCUUGCACACAGUGUUUUGAUCAACCCACUCCUAUUUUCGAUCCAAAAAAGUCCUCUUCUUUCUCUAAGUUAUCAUGUUCUAGCAAAUUAUGUGAAGCAUUACCCCAGUCCACUUGCAGCGAUGGCUGCGAAUAUCUGUAUGGUUAUGGCGAUUAUUCUUCAACACAAGGAAUGCUGGCAAGCGAAACUCUCACGUUUGGCAAGGUUUCAGUUCCUGAAGUUGCAUUCGGUUGCGGAGAAGAUAACGAGGGAAGUGGAUUCAGCCAGGGUUCUGGCCUAGUGGGGCUUGGCCGUGGACCCUUGUCAUUGGUUUCUCAACUCAAGGAGCCCAAGUUCUCAUAUUGCUUAACCUCUGUUGAUGACACAAAAGCCAGCACACUAUUGAUGGGAUCUCUAGCAAGUGUGAAAGCAUCAGACAGUGAAAUCAAGACCACCCCUUUAAUCCAGAACUCAGCACAGCCAUCAUUUUACUAUCUUUCCCUUGAAGGAAUAUCAGUGGGUGACACUAGCUUACCUAUCAAGAAAUCUACCUUUUCACUCCAAGAAGAUGGAAGUGGUGGCCUUAUUAUUGACUCUGGCACUACAAUAACCUAUUUAGAACAAAGUGCUUUUGAUUUGGUAGCCAAAGAGUUCACCUCUCAGAUUAAUCUCCCGGUGGACAAUUCCGGCUCGACGGGGCUCGAAGUUUGCUUCACAUUGCCAUCAGGCUCAACCGAUAUAGAGGUGCCUAAGUUGGUAU